Molecule: long non-coding RNA, 294 nt
Filed under: Elaeis guineensis (African oil palm)
Lineage: Eukaryota; Viridiplantae; Streptophyta; Magnoliopsida; Arecales; Arecaceae
Description: long non-coding RNA (EGUI_LNC034597)
Source: RNAcentral
GUCUCCAUCAUUAAUAAUCACUACAACAGAACAGGAUAUUAGCGAAGCAAAAAAUUUAUCGCUGAUACUAGAUUUUUAUCGAUAAUAGUUAUUAGCAUGAAAUUAUCGUCACUAAUAUUUUAUCACAAAUAAUGGCAUCGUUGAUAACUUUUUAUGAUGAAAAAAAAUUAUCAUCGUCAAUAAUCGAUAUUACCGAUCAAAAAUUUUCAUCAUUAAAAUUUUUUUUUUCGAAAACUAUUCAUGAUGAAAAAUUUUCAUCGUAAAAAAAUAAUUUAUAAAAAAUUAUUACAUCGC